UACGUAGGGGGCAAGCGUUGUCCGGAAUUAUUGGGCGUAAAGAGCGUGUAGGCGGUCCGGUAAGUCAGCUGUGAAAGUCAAGGGCUCAACCCUUGAAUGCCGGUUGAUACUGUCGGGCUAGAGUCCGGAAGAGGCGAGUGGAAUUCCCGGUGUAGCGGUGAAAUUCGUAGAUAUUGGGAAGAACACCGGUGGCGAAGGCGGCCAACUGGACCACAACUGACGCUGAGGCGCGAAAGCGUGGGGAGCAAACAGG
RNAcentral lists this ribosomal RNA (253 nucleotides) under uncultured bacterium. Its description in RNAcentral is "partial 16S ribosomal RNA". It matches the Rfam family "Bacterial small subunit ribosomal RNA", at positions 524 to 776 of the family's 1533-position model. The record is from RNAcentral.